UUGGCCCGAAUCGAAGUUAUAUCUUACUAUAAAUUACACUUCAAUGGAGAUCACAUAAAUCGAGCUUUAUUCAGGUCACACUUUUUGGAGCGCCCAUCCGUAGGAAUCUUUCCCCGUGCAUUCAUCUCCACACGAGCCUGUUCCCGCAGCUCUGCCUUCCGCAUUCGACGCUCUUUGCGUGACUCCAGAGCAUUAUUAAAGUACCGAUCCCUGAAGUCCUGCGAGGGCGUUGGCACCUGUUUUAUGCUGCACAAUAAGGGUUCUGUUGGACUAUACUCGAAACACUUUUCAUAGGUGAGUAGCCGCCUAGCUGUAUUCCCAGUCAAUUGCUGCUCAGAGUUAGCUAUCAGGCUCAGAUGCUGAUGCUGUGGCAGCAUCUUCGGGUCGUAGUCCUCGCUGUGAAAGGGUAUCCAGCAGACAAGACGUCCUCCCAGUUUUAGGUGCCUCGCAGAGAACUCGAGAAGAUCCCCAUAGAGACUCUGCAAGGAAUAGUGCGACGUUGAUGGGUAAUGCACCAUGCUGUCACUUCUAGUGUUGGCCUUUACGCUAGCCUUUUUCUCCACCUUUUCCGUGGCCUCUCUUAUUCCAUAGGGAGCUUAAAUUACCAAAGAAUGAACAUUUUAAGUUUGGUAUAAAAAAGAAUAAACCUACGAUCUGUUAUUAUGCAGUCGAACGAGAUGCGGGAAUGCCACACCGGGUUGGAGAAAUCGGCCACCACCACAUCCAUGUAGCGAUCAGCGCAGCCGUACUGCUUCAAGUUGGCCCGAAUGCUCUCGUCCUUCUCCCGCACUUUUUGGGUUAUCCGGCUCGGCCGGCAGCGGGCGUGCACCAUCAUGUAGUCUAUGUCCGCUCCCAGGACAUACCCGCCCCACUUGGCGGCGCUUACCAAAAGCGAGCCCGUUCCCACAAACGGAUCAAAUACCAGAUCCCCAUUGCGUACCAUCGCUUGGUUGGCCAUUAGCAGGCUCAGCUGGGCGUCCAUGCUGGUGUUACCGAUAAACUUACGAUGCUUCAGCGAAAGCUCCUUGAUCAAAUGCCGCUGACCAUGGGCCAUCAGCCGACCAAACAGAAUGUCCUCCGGCUCAGGUGGCACAGCCGUUGGAUCCAAGCCCCAAAACUCGAUGUACCACCACUCCACCACGGGUUUCUCCAGAUUGACCGUUCCCUCUAUUGGCAGGUAAUCCAUGGACUCGAUUUUCUCAACCUUUUCCCUCUGGCUGAAGUGCUUGUUGUAGGUCUCCACAACGAUCUUAAAACUGGCAUCCACCCGAAAGUAUUCCGCAAGCGAAUGCCAGUUCGCGGUAACAUGAUUCCGUAGCCUCUGGUGAAACUCGGGUAAUUUGUUGGAGUGGGCGUAGAGCUCGAACAUGGCGCGCAACGAAACGGACCUGGAUGCAUAUAGCAACGCAGUAUCCGUGUCCCGAAAUUCGACCAACCAAAAUGGUUUCUGUAAUACCGAAAUUAAAAAAUAUAAAUAU
Molecule: non-coding RNA, 1478 nt
Organism: Drosophila melanogaster (fruit fly)
Lineage: Eukaryota; Metazoa; Arthropoda; Insecta; Diptera; Drosophilidae
Source: Ensembl